UUGGGGAAUAUUGCACAAUGGGCGCAAGCCUGAUGCAGCCAUGCCGCGUGUAUGAAGAAGGCCUUCGGGUUGUAAAGUACUUUCAGCGGGGAGGAAGGGAGUAAAGUUAAUACCUUUGCUCAUUGACGUUACCCGCAGAAGAAGCACCGGCUAACUCCGUGCCAGCAGCCGGCGGUAAUACAA
RNAcentral lists this ribosomal RNA (183 nucleotides) under uncultured Gammaproteobacteria bacterium. RNAcentral describes it as "partial 16S ribosomal RNA". It matches the Rfam family "Bacterial small subunit ribosomal RNA", at positions 354 to 528 of the family's 1533-position model. Lineage: Bacteria; Pseudomonadati; Pseudomonadota; Gammaproteobacteria. The record is from RNAcentral.